CGGCCUUGACAUACUAAGAACUUUCCAGAGAUGGAUUGGUGCCUUCGGGAACUUAGAUACAGGUGCUGCAUGGCUGUCGUCAGCUCGUGUCGUGAGAUGUUGGGUUAAGUCCCGNAACGAGCGCAACCCUUUUCCUAUUUGCCAGCGGGUCAUGCCGGGGAACUUUAAGGAUACUGCCAGUGACAAACUGGAGGAAGGCGGGGACGACGUCAAGUCAUCAUGGCCCUUACGGCCAGGGCUACACACGUGCUACAAUGGUCGGUACAAAGGGUUGCUACCUCGCGAGAGGAUGCUAAUCUCAAAAAGCCGAUCGUAGUCCGGAUCGCAGUCUGCAACUCGACUGCGUGAAGUCGGAAUCGCUAGUAAUCGCGGAUCAGAAUGCCGCGGUCGAAUACGUUCCCGGGCCUUGUACACACCGCCCGUCACACCAUGGGAGUUUGUUGCACCAGAAGUAGGUAGUCUAACCGCAAGGAGGACGCUUACCACGGUGUGGCCGAUGACUGGGGUGAAGUCGUAACAAGGUAGGCGUAGAUGA
Molecule: ribosomal RNA, 535 nt
Filed under: uncultured bacterium
Lineage: Bacteria
Description: bacterial SSU rRNA
Rfam family: Bacterial small subunit ribosomal RNA
Source: RNAcentral